AGGGCGCACGGUGGAUGCCUUGGCACUAGAAGCCGAAGAAGGACGUGACAAACGACGAAAUGCUUUGGGGAGCUGUAAGUAAGCGACGAUCCAGAGAUGUCCGAAUGGGGGAACCCACUAGCUAAUGGCUAGUACUCCUAUCUGUUAAGGAUAGGUAGAGGAAGACGCAGUGAACUGAAACAUCUAAGUAGCUGCAGGAAGAGAAAGCAAAAGCGAUUGCCUGAGUAGCGGCGAGCGAAACGGCAGGAGGGCAAACCGAAGAGUUUACUCUUCGGGGUUGUAGGACUGCAAUGUGGACUUAAAGAUUAUAGAAGAAUGACAUGGGAAGGUCAGCCAAAGAGAGUAAGAGCCUCGUAUUCGAAAUAGUCUUUAUACCUAGCAGUAUCCUGAGUACGGCGGGACACGAGAAAUCCCGUCGGAAUCUGGGAGGACCAUCUCCCAACCCUAAAUACUCUCUAGUGACCGAUAGUGAACCAGUACCGUGAGGGAAAGGUGAAAAGCACCCCGGGAGGGGAGUGAAAUAGAACCUGAAACCGUGUGCCUACAACAAGUUCGAGCCCGUUAAUGGGUGAGAGCGUGCCUUUUGUAGAAUGAACCGGCGAGUUACGAUAUGAUGCGAGGUUAAGUUGAAGAGACGGAGCCGUAGGGAAACCGAGUCUUAAUAGGGCGCAUUAGUAUCAUGUCGUAGACCCGAAACCAUGUGACCUACCCAUGAGCAGGUUGAAGGUGAGGUAAAACUCACUGGAGGACCGAACCAGGGCACGUUGAAAAGUGCUUGGAUGACUUGUGGGUAGCGGAGAAAUUCCAAACGAACUUGGAGAUAGCUGGUUCUCUCCGAAAUAGCUUUAGGGCUAGCGUCGAUGUUAAGUCUCUUGGAGGUAGAGCACUGUUUGGGUGAGGGGUCCAUCCCGGAUUACCAAUCUCAGAUAAACUCCGAAUGCCAACGAGAUAUAAUCGGCAGUCAGACUGCGAGUGCUAAGAUCCGUAGUCGAAAGGGAAACAGCCCAGACCACCAGCUAAGGUCCCAAAAUAUAUGUUAAGUGGAAAAGGAUGUGGGGUUGCACAGACAACUAGGAUGUUAGCUUAGAAGCAGCUAUUCAUUCAAAGAGUGCGUAAUAGCUCACUAGUCGAGUGACCCUGCGCCGAAAAUGUACCGGGGCUAAAACAUAUUACCGAAGCUGUGGAUACCUUUAUAGGUAUGGUAGGAGAGCGUUCUAUGUGCGAAGAAGGUGUACCGUGAGGAGUGCUGGAGCGCAUAGAAGUGAGAAUGCCGGUAUGAGUAGCGAAAGACAGGUGAGAAUCCUGUCCACCGUAAGACUAAGGUUUCCAGGGGAAGGCUCGUCCGCCCUGGGUUAGUCGGGACCUAAGGAGAGACCGAAAGGUGUAUCCGAUGGACAACAGGUUGAUAUUCCUGUACUAGAGUAUAUAGUGAUGGAGGGACGCAGUAGGCUAACUAAACCAGACGAUUGGAAGUGUCUGGCCAAGCAGUGAGGUGUGAUAUGAGUCAAAUGCUUAUAUCUAUAACAUUGAGCUGUGAUGGGGAGCGAAGUUUAGUAGCGAAGUUAGUGAUGUCACACUGCCGAGAAAAGCUUCUAGCGUUAAUUAUACUCUACCCGUACCGCAAACCGACACAGGUAGUCGAGGCGAGUAGCCUCAGGUGAGCGAGAGAACUCUCGUUAAGGAACUCGGCAAAAUGGCCCCGUAACUUCGGGAGAAGGGGCGCUGACUUAUGGUCAGCCGCAGUGAAUAGGCCCAAGCAACUGUUUAUCAAAAACACAGCUCUCUGCUAAAUCGUAAGAUGAUGUAUAGGGGGUGACGCCUGCCCGGUGCUGGAAGGUUAAGAGGAGUGCUUAGCAAUAGCGAAGGUAUGAAUUGAAGCCCCAGUAAACGGCGGCCGUAACUAUAACGGUCCUAAGGUAGCGAAAUUCCUUGUCGGGUAAGUUCCGACCCGCACGAAAGGCGUAAUGAUUUGGGCACUGUCUCAACGAGAGACUCGGUGAAAUUUUAGUACCUGUGAAGAUGCAGGUUACCCGCGACAGGACGGAAAGACCCCAUGGAGCUUUACUGCAGUUUGAUAUUGAGUAUCUGUACCACAUGUACAGGAUAGGUAGGAGCCUAUGACCUCGGGACGCCAGUUUCGAGUGAGGCGUUGUUGGGAUACUACCCUUGUGUUAUGGCUACUCUAACCCAGAUAGGUUAUCCCUAUCGGAGACAGUGUCUGACGGGCAGUUUGACUGGGGCGGUCGCCUCCUAAAAGGUAACGGAGGCGCCCAAAGGUUCCCUCAGAAUGGUUGGAAAUCAUUCGCAGAGUG
This 2312-nucleotide ribosomal RNA is filed under the name human gut metagenome. RNAcentral describes it as "bacterial LSU rRNA". It matches the Rfam family "Bacterial large subunit ribosomal RNA", at positions 14 to 2351 of the family's 2925-position model. The record is from RNAcentral.